Molecule: long non-coding RNA, 933 nt
Filed under: Homo sapiens (human)
Lineage: Eukaryota; Metazoa; Chordata; Mammalia; Primates; Hominidae
Description: non-protein coding lnc-GATA3-11:1
Source: RNAcentral
AUGGCUAACCGUACACUGAAGGAUGCGCACAGCGUCCGCGGCACCAACCCUCAAUAUCUGGUGGGGAAGAUCAUUCGAAUGCGAAUCUGUGAGUCCAAGCACUGGAAAGAGGAGUGCUUUGGACUUAUGGCUGAACUUGUAGUCGAUAACGCCAUGGAGUUAAUGUUUGUGGGUGGCGAAUAUGGUGGCAACAUAAAACCAACACCCUUUCUGUGUUUAAUCUUGAAGAUGCUUCAGAUUCAAUCCGAGAAAGGUAUCACUGCAGAGUUUAUAGAAAAUGAAGAUUUCAAGUAUGUCCACAUGUUGGGGGCACUUUACAUGAGGCUGAUGGGCACUGCAAUUGAUUGCUACAAGUACUUGGAGCCUUUGUACAAUGACUAUCGAAAAAUCAAGAGCCAGAACAGAAAUGGGGGUUUGAACUGAUGCAUGUAGAUGAGUUUAUUGAUGAACUGGUGCACAGUGUGAGAGUCUGUGAUAUCACUCUGCCCCGGCUACAGAAACGCUAGGUAUUAGAGGAAACUGAGCAACUGGAGCCUUGAGUUAGUGCUCUGGAAGAGGACAUAGAUGAUGUGGAGUCCAGUGAAGAGGAAGAAGAGGAGGAUGAGAAGUUGGAAAGAGUGCCAUCACCUGAUCGCCUCCGGAGAAGCUACGGAGACUUGGACAAGCCCCGUCCAUCUCCCACACUGUGCUACAGAAGGAGUAGGAGUCUGUCUCCCAGAAGGCGGAAUCGAUCUCCCAAAAGUAGAAGCCCCUUCUCCCGCCGAGAAAGGCAUCCGAGCAAGGGUCCAAGACAUCACCGCAGCAGAUCCCGAGACCGGCGGCACAGAUCCCGUUCCAAGUCCCCAGAUCCUCACCGUAGUCACAGACACAGGAGCUACUCAAAAUCUCCCAAAAGGUCUAAGAAGAGCCACAAGAAGAGCCGGAGAGGGAAUG